This 464-nucleotide ribosomal RNA is filed under the name uncultured bacterium. RNAcentral describes it as "partial 16S ribosomal RNA". It matches the Rfam family "Bacterial small subunit ribosomal RNA", at positions 28 to 506 of the family's 1533-position model. The record is from RNAcentral.
GAUGAACGCUGGCGGCGUGCUUAACACAUGCAAGUCGAACGGAAAGGCUCCUGCUUGCAGGGGUACUCGAGUGGCGAACGGGUGAGUAACACGUGGGUGAUCUGCCCUGCACUUCGGGAUAAGCCUGGGAAACUGGGUCUAAUACCGGAUAGGACGAUGGUUUGGAUGCCAUUGUGGAAAGUUUUUCGGUGUGGGAUGAGCUCGCGGCCUAUCAGCUUGUUGGUGGGGUAAUGGCCUACCAAGGCGUCGACGGGUAGCCGGCCUGAGAGGGUGUACGGCCACAUUGGCACUGGGGUGCGGCCCAGACUCCUACGGGCGGCAGCAGUGGGGAAUAUUGCACAAUGGGCGCAAGCCUGAUGCAGCGACGCCGCGUGGGGGAUGACGGCCUUCGGGUUGUAAACUCCUUUCGCAAGGGACGAAGCGCAAGUGACGGUACCUGGAGAAGAAGCACCGGCUAACUACGU